Molecule: ribosomal RNA, 253 nt
Filed under: uncultured bacterium
Lineage: Bacteria
Description: partial 16S ribosomal RNA
Rfam family: Bacterial small subunit ribosomal RNA
Source: RNAcentral
UACGGAGGGUGCAAGCGUUGUCCGGAAUCACUGGGCGUAAAGGGCGCGUAGGCGGCUCGGUAAGUAGGGGGUGAAAUCCUGCGGCUUAACCGCAGGGCUGCCUUCUAAACUGUCGAGCUUGAGCACGGUAGAGGCAGAUGGAAUUCCCGGUGUAGCGGUGGAAUGCGUAGAGAUCGGGAAGAACAUCAGUGGCGAAGGCGGUCUGCUGGGCCGUUGCUGACGCUGAGGCGCGAAAGCGUGGGGAGCAAACAGG